RNAcentral lists this transfer RNA (65 nucleotides) under Azygia hwangtsiyui. RNAcentral describes it as "tRNA-Gln". The record is from RNAcentral. Lineage: Eukaryota; Metazoa; Platyhelminthes; Trematoda; Azygiida; Azygiidae.
UAUAGCUUGUUGUAGAAUUUGCAUAGCUUAUUUUGGUUAAGCAGGUAGGGGGUCUUUAGCUAUAG